Molecule: ribosomal RNA, 301 nt
Filed under: uncultured bacterium
Lineage: Bacteria
Description: partial 16S ribosomal RNA
Rfam family: Bacterial small subunit ribosomal RNA
Source: RNAcentral
CAGUAGCCGCGGUAAUACAGAGGGUGCGAGCGUUAAUCGGAUUUACUGGGCGUAAAGCGUGCGUAGGCGGCUUUUUAAGUCGGAUGUGAAAUCCCUGAGCUUAACUUAGGAAUUGCAUUCGAUACUGGGAAGCUAGAGUAUGGGAGAGGAUGGUAGAAUUCCAGGUGUAGCGGUGAAAUGCGUAGAGAUCUGGAGGAAUACCGAUGGCGAAGGCAGCCAUCUGGCCUAAUACUGACGCUGAGGUACGAAAGCAUGGGUAGCAAACAGGAUUAGAUACCCCUGUAGUCCCUGUCUCUUAUAC